Aphis gossypii (cotton aphid) is the source of this 891-nucleotide long non-coding RNA. RefSeq lists it as uncharacterized. The record is from RefSeq and is a predicted model, not a curated record. Lineage: Eukaryota; Metazoa; Arthropoda; Insecta; Hemiptera; Aphididae. The transcript has 3 exons.
UGCAGUCCUCCGCUACACGGCGCAACGAGAAAUCCUCGCCGAGCACCUGUGCCGUCACCCCGUUGCCGCCCGUCGCGUGGAAGUAAAACUUCACAAAUCGUUAAUUAACCGAAAACACGAGCGCAAAACUCGACUCGAAUCCCCCUCGUCGUCGCCGCCGCCACUGCCGCCAUGCAAAUUGCAAACGACCCGUAAUAACGUACGCGACGAAAGUAUAAUAAUGCGCGCCGGGUUAGUGCUGCGAAAAAAAAAACAAUCAGUUUCACCGAGCAGACGGACACUCGGUAGAGGCUCAGGGGUGGCGGUGGUGAUCGAAACGGAAAUUAAAAUGUCCAAAUAAUUACAUGCAGAUGUAGAUACGGUCGGUGGUCUCUGAUGUUUACCUCCGAACGAGAUAUUUUGCAUUUUCGAGGGACAUGUUACCUAAGUAUAUUCUAUACGUCAUGCAUAUAUUAUAAUUUCAUAUUCAGGGGUUGCAGUGGUGGUCGAAACGGAAAUGAAAAUGUCCACAUAAUACAGAUGUAGAUAUGCCGGUGGUCUCUGAUGUUUACCUUCGAACGAGACAUUUUGCAUUUUCGAGGGACACAAAACCCCGUUCGACGUGUUAUAAUACAACGUGACGCGUACUACAACGCUCGGCGGAAAUCAAAUAUCGGACCGACGGCUCAAUUCAAUUUCCCGACAGAUAAUAAUAAUAAUAUAUAAGUACGUACAACAUUCAAACCUUUUUUAUAUUAUUAUUUUUUUUAGCAAGUACCACGCCUUCUCUCCACUCAACUUCCGGCCGCCGGCGAAUAUAUCCGUUAUUAUUAUACACGUAGGACGUGUCGAAAAUCUGCAUGGAAAUAGCACAAUCAUGAGUAUAAUACAUUUAUAUAUAAAAAAAUAGCA